AUAUUGCACAAUGGGCGCAAGCCUGAUGCAGCCAUGCCGCGUGUGUGAAGAAGGCCUUCGGGUUGUAAAGCACUUUCAGUCAGGAGGAAAGCGUGGUGGUUAAUACCCAUCAUGUGUGACGUUACUGACAGAAGAAGCACCGGCUAACUCCGUGCCAGCAGCCGCGGUAAUACGGAGGGUGCGAGCGUUAAUCGGAAUUACUGGGCGUAAAGCGUACGCAGGCGGUUUGUUAAGCGAGAUGUGAAAGCCCCGGGCUCAACCUGGGAACUGCAUUUCGAACUGGCAAACUAGAGUGUGAUAGAGGGUGGUAGAAUUUCAGGUGUAGCGGUGAAAUGCGUAGAGAUCUGAAGGAAUACCGAUGGCGAAGGCAGCCACCUGGGUCAACACUGACGCUCAUGUACGAAAGCGUGGGGAGCAAACGGGAUUAGAUACCCCGGUAGUCCACGCCGUAAACGAUGUCUACUAGAAGCUCGGAGCCUCGGUUCUGUUUUUCAAAGCUAACGCAUUAAGUAGACCGCCUGGGGAGUACGGCCGCAAGGUUAAAACUCAAAUGAAUUGACGGGGGCCCGCACAAGCGGUGGAGCAUGUGGUUUAAUUCGAUGCAACGCGAAGAACCUUACCUACACUUGACAUACAGAGAACUUACCAGAGAUGGUUUGGUGCCUUCGGGAACUCUGAUACAGGUGCUGCAUGGCUGUCGUCAGCUCGUGUUGUGAGAUGUUGGGUUAAGUCCCGCAACGAGCGCAACCCCUAUCCUUAGUUGCUAGCAGGUAAUGCUGAGAACUCUAAGGAGACUGCCGGUGAUAAACCGGAGGAAGGUGGGGACGACGUCAAGUCAUCAUGGCCCUUACGUGUAGGGCUACACACGUGCUACAAUGGCGCAUACAGAGUGCUGCGAACUCGCGAGAGUAAGCGAAUCACUUAAAGUGCGUCGUAGUCCGGAUUGGAGUCUGCAACUCGACUCCAUGAAGUCGGAAUCGCUAGUAAUCGCGUAUCAGAAUGACGCGGUGAAUACGUUCCCGGGCCUUGUACACACCGCCCGUCACACCAUGGGAGUGGGUUGCUCCAGAAGUAGAUAGUCUAACCCUCGGGAGGACGUUUACCACGGAGUGAUUCAUGACUGGGGUGAAGUCGUAACAAGGUAACC
Molecule: ribosomal RNA, 1147 nt
Filed under: Pseudoalteromonas sp. YAAJ-2
Lineage: Bacteria; Pseudomonadati; Pseudomonadota; Gammaproteobacteria; Alteromonadales; Pseudoalteromonadaceae
Description: bacterial SSU rRNA
Rfam family: Bacterial small subunit ribosomal RNA
Source: RNAcentral